Molecule: ribosomal RNA, 208 nt
Filed under: uncultured bacterium
Lineage: Bacteria
Description: partial 16S ribosomal RNA
Rfam family: Bacterial small subunit ribosomal RNA
Source: RNAcentral
UGCGUAGGCGGUUAGUUAAGUCUGUUGUGAAAUCCCUGGGCUCAACCUGGGAAUGGCAAUGGAUACUGGCUAGCUAGAGUGUGUCAGAGGAUGGUGGAAUUUCCGGUGUAGCGGUGAAAUGCGUAGAGAUCGGAAGGAACAUCAGUGGCGAAGGCGGCCAUCUGGGACAACACUGACGCUGAAGCACGAAAGCGUGGGGGAGCAAACA